RNAcentral lists this ribosomal RNA (253 nucleotides) under uncultured bacterium. RNAcentral's name for it is "partial 16S ribosomal RNA". It matches the Rfam family "Bacterial small subunit ribosomal RNA", at positions 524 to 776 of the family's 1533-position model. The record is from RNAcentral.
UACAGAGGUGGCAAGCGUUGUUCGGAAUUACUGGGCGUAAAGGGCGCGUAGGCGGCCAUCUAAGUCAGACGUGAAAUCCCCCGGCUUAACCUGGGAACUGCGUCUGAUACUGGAAGGCUCGAGUUUGGGAGAGGGAUGCGGAAUUCCAGGUGUAGCGGUGAAAUGCGUAGAUAUCUGGAGGAACACCGGUGGCGAAGGCGGCAUCCUGGACCAAUAUUGACGCUGAGGAGCGAAAGCCAGGGGAGCAAACGGG